AUGGACUCCCACCUCCCGGCCCUCCCGGCCUCACAGGACCUCUCAGGGCAUCCACUCACCACGGGGCUCUUAGGACUCGGGUGCGGUGGGGAGGAGACGCCAUUGAGGGUUCCGGGCUCUGCAGGGCGUGGCUCUGUGAUGUGGGAACACCGGGUAGGUCACAGAAGAUGCCAGCUGCCUCUAGAUUCAGAGAACCCGACCCCUCCUCCCUCGGACCCAGGAGUCCGGAUUCAGGCUCCUCACCGGCGGGACCUUCUUCCCCCUCAUCCUCGUCCUGGAUGGGGGGCCCCCCAGCCCCACCAGGCCGGCGCUCCUUGGACAAGUCCUGGAGGGAAAUCUUCUCUCGACUGCUCAGACGACACACAGAGCUCCUGUUGGGGAAGGAGAGGGUGCUGGGGUGCAAGCCCGGGGCCUCCAGCCACCCGCCAGCCCCAGACUCCUCCCUCCCUAUACCUUCUGUGUCUGCUGCUACAGGGCGCUUGGGGCUCCUGGCCCCGGCUCUGGGAAGCUUCUUUUUGGUUCCGAAGCUGCAAGGAGGGAAGGAGGCUGCAGGGGAGGGGUGGAGCACACGUCCCCCACAGCAAUACCACCAUGAACAGCUGUCAGGAGCUCGGUGCCCAGGCGGGCACCGUGGGCUCGUGGAAGCGCUUGCUGGUUCUCCUACAGAUGGCGGCACACCUCAGAGAGAGGAGGCGCCCUGUGUCCAGCAGGUGCCUGCGGCUGCCACGUGCAGGCACUGCCGUCUUGUCCUCACGGCCCCCACCCAUGAGAAGCCUCCAGUCUCAUCCCCAGAGGGGUCCUUCUAGCUCCCAGGGGCGACCUGCUCAGACCUCAUCCCAACCCCUCAGCACACCCAGGGCACUGGUGGGCCCUCAGCUGCCCCGGCUUCUGCCGCUGGCACUCGCCUCCUCCUUCCCCACACAGUUCACCACCGUCUUCACACCUGCCCCACACAGUUCAACACCGUCUUCACACCUUCCCCACACAGUUCACCACUGUCUUUACACCUUCCCCACACAGUUCACCACUGUCUUCACACCUUCGGGCCUCUGCAUGUGGUGCCCAGGAGUACUGGGAGGGCCCUUCAUUCCUGCCCUUCUAGCAAACUCUUAGUGCUGUAGUACUCACGUCUUCUAGAAACUGUCCCCAGAUGCUCCCAGGCUGGGCUCCCCUCAUAUCUGGGCCACCUAAGCUGAUCCUGCCCCACCCAUUAAACCCCCCUUGGCCGUAUCACCCUCAGGGCAAAAGUCACCCUGCUCCUCGCCUGGCACUCAUGGUCCUCCCGGGUUUGCCCUGCCUUACACUCCCCUUCCUGGGCACCUCAGGGCACCCACACUUGCCCCCCAGACUGUGUGAGACCUUCUCCUACAUCUGUCAGCCUCCACCUUGCUCCUGCCAACCUUUCAAAAGAGGAAGCUGUCUCCACUCUGCUGCCCACGCACCAGGAGCCCUAGGCCUGGCCUUGGGAGCUUCCUGUCACCCCACAGAGCCCACUGAACGCUGGCGUGGCUCUAGUACUUCCCGUGGCACGUACUCCUGAGCUCCUGACAGCACAAUCCACAUGUCACGCACGACCCCUCAUACAGAUGCGCACCAUACCAUUCCCAUUUGACAGAUGAGGAAACUGAGGCCUGGAGAGGAAAGUGGCUGGGUGGGACUCACGGCAGAUCCAUGGCAGAGCCAGGAUUCCAACCCAGGCAGUCUGGCCAGGGCUCACGCCCUUCACUCCUUCACUCUAAGUUUUCUCAGCAAGGCUGCCCUGGGGAUGGCUGGGGGACACCUUGCGGGUGACCAGCCCAGCCUAAGUCUAGGACAGUCUUGCACAUGGCUGCUGCCAAGGGCCACCCUGAGGUGAUGAGGUGCGCUGAGCUGGUUUGUUAUUUUGUCUGAGUGUCAGACAACCCUGUCCAGAUCCUUCUGCUGCCUCCCCACCAGGCAGGUAGGAAGCUCUGCAGCCCCAUCUCUAUCCUGCCCCGGCUGGGGGUCUCUCCUGAGGCUGGGGCUGGAGCUGGGAAAGAGCAGGUCGCUGGGGUGGUGGGUGUCAGAAGUCGGGGUGGGGUACCCCCUCUGCACCCUCCUCUAAGGAGUUGAGGGGACAUGGGGAGUCUGGGACAAGCCCCUCAGCCCUAACACUCACGUCUUCCUGUUUCCGGGCCAGUUCCUCCAACAGGCUCAGCACUUCCUCAUCAGCCAGGUCGCAGGGCCGCUGCCCCUGGGUCGGGGGAGGAGCAGGAGCAGACAAUGAAGGAGGCGCUGGGUCCUCCCCACGCCCUGCCCCCACCAGCCUGGGC
RNAcentral lists this long non-coding RNA (2291 nucleotides) under Macaca fascicularis (crab-eating macaque). RNAcentral describes it as "lncRNA (ENSMFAG00000059809.1)". The record is from RNAcentral. Lineage: Eukaryota; Metazoa; Chordata; Mammalia; Primates; Cercopithecidae.